This 72-nucleotide transfer RNA is filed under the name Camelus bactrianus (Bactrian camel). It matches the Rfam family "tRNA". From Rfam's summary of the family: Transfer RNA (tRNA) molecules are approximately 80 nucleotides in length. Their secondary structure includes four short double-helical elements and three loops (D, anti-codon, and T loops). RNAcentral also lists the same sequence under 1 other name. Lineage: Eukaryota; Metazoa; Chordata; Mammalia; Artiodactyla; Camelidae. The record is from Rfam by way of RNAcentral.
GAGGGUGCAGCUCAGUGGUAGAGUGUAUGCUUCGCAUGCACGAGGACCUGGGUUCAAUCCCCGGUACCGCCA